Rhododendron vialii is the source of this 1368-nucleotide long non-coding RNA. RefSeq lists it as uncharacterized. NCBI's taxonomy places the organism in Eukaryota, Viridiplantae, Streptophyta, Magnoliopsida, Ericales, Ericaceae. The record is from RefSeq and is a predicted model, not a curated record. The transcript is spliced from 2 exons.
AUCACCUACUCUUCUCACUCUCUCCAAACACCCUCCCUCUCUCUCUCUCUCUCUCUCUGGAUCUUCGUCGGAGAAGUCAGUCUGUAUAUACCCAAGUUUCUUAUCUGUUCUUGAUCUCAAAACGUCAAACACAACCCCCCCUCCACUUCGAACUUCAGUCGCGGGCUCACUUAUCAACAGGUCACCCAGUUUCUUGACCUUCUGUCAUACGGUUAUUCUGUUUAUAAUCUGUUGUUUCGAUUAUCAUCUACCAUUAAGAUUUGAGUCUUUUUUGUUUGUUUGUUUUUUUUAAAAUUUUAAUUGAUUUUUUUAAGCCCCUACAGCUUGAUUUUAUUUUCAACUGUUUGUCUCUCUUUCUUUUUCUCCCAUAUAAUUUCUGGUGAGAGUUGGAGAUCUCCAUAUAUUUCGUACUCACUUUGUUCCUUAAGAAAUAUUUGUAAAAUAAAAAGGGGUUUCUGUUUUACAACUGUUUUACUGUUCUAGGGUUCCAUUGGGUCAUCAUGUACCUUUUAACCACUUAUUGGGUGCCACGUCAGCAUGUUUUAGUGGUCUUAAAUUUGGAAAGUACACACGCCUCCACCAUCCCCCUCUUUUUCCUCCUUUACUUUCUAAUCCUCUUUCUAAUCGUCUUUCUUCCUGUAUGGAGUAUCCUUCUAUUCUUAAGUUGAGAACAAAUCUGCAUAUACAAUUCGCAACAGAAAGAUUGAAGAUUUCUAUCUCAUCUACGCCGGUGGAGCCUUCGGUUGAAAUCACAAGUCAUUGUUUGCAGGUGCGGCAUCACCAAGAUUCACAUGAAAAUUCCAAGGCAAUGAAAAUCUUGAUUGUUAAGAAAAUGAGAAUCUUGAUGAUGCUGCAUCAGCAAAUCGACGACUAUAAACUCUGCUUACGUAUACGCAUGGAAUAUGAUAUCCUUCUUUGCAUAAAUUAACAAGCUGUGAUUUCAGUGGAGGAUAACAGGGGCAAAACCACCAUGGUGGUGAUGGGAGGAGCAUCUCUUGGUGCCGCUGGUUAUCCACCAGAAGGGGCAACUGCUGCGAAGGGAAGGUGUCCUCUGGACCUAUGGUGUCUUAGAGGAGAGAGAGAGAGAGAUGGGAAAGAAAAUACAUAAAUUUUGAAUCUGCAUCUUGUGUCCGCAAUGGGAUUACAGCUUCCUAAAUCUGAACCAACCUCCCGUGACCCUUGGAUCAAACAUGGAUAGAAACUCUUAACUCUCGUCAAGAGUAAGACUUAGAAAUGAAAGGCUAAGAUUUAUAAAUAUGUAUAUAAGAUUCAAAAAUCGCCAUUCCUUAUUAUAUAGAUAGGACAACUGAAUGGAAGUAUUUGGAUGUGUUUGCGAUAGCUGUGGAUAUAGAUUUUAGAUUUUAUUUU